RNAcentral lists this unclassified non-coding RNA (3546 nucleotides) under Amphibalanus amphitrite. RNAcentral's name for it is "sH3 domain-binding glutamic acid-rich protein-like, transcript variant X1". Lineage: Eukaryota; Metazoa; Arthropoda; Thecostraca; Balanomorpha; Balanidae. The record is from RNAcentral.
UCAUAGCACAAACAUCGAACGAUGACGUCAUCGACUAAAAUAGACGAUAAAAGAUCGAUUCUCAUUGGCUGAUAUGCCGAGCUGUACGUUCUAUGACGUCAGAGAUUAGCAAGUUCAUACCAAACAAAACGUCACUAAAUGAUACCAGUCAGAGGGCGUGAUCAGUUCCUAUUUGUAUUGUUGAAUCUUGAGGAAGUGCGUUGAAGUGCACGCAUAUUGUGGCAUUUUGUUUGCAGUAGUACUUCGUAGCUUAAAGUGAAUUGUUCAAAAUAUCAGUGUAGUGUAUUUUCUGUUACGGAAGAUUGGUUUGUUUGGAUGCUGCCUUAGACUUCCUGUAGCUAGUCAAGAUGACAAUCAAAAUAUACGUUUCUGGGCUGUCUGGAAACUAUGAGGUAAAGAAGCGCCAGCAGCGGAUUCAGACUGUGCUGGACUCGUGUGCCAUUGCCUAUGAGCUGAUAGACAUUACGGAAGCUGGCUGUGAGGAUGAGAGAAAAUUUAUGCAGGAGACCGCCAAAGCAAAGGAGGGGGACCGGAACCCCCUGCCACCACAGAUAUUCAAUGACAAGGACUACUGUGGUGACUAUGACGCCUUCGAUUACGCCAACGAGACCGAUCAGCUGCACCAGUUUCUGAAGCUGAGCGAGGGCGAGGUGAACACCGCCCAGGACAUCCUCUCCGCCAACCGGCGCGCCUCCAUCAAAGAGCACACAACAGCGGAGAACGGCCUCGACGAAACGCCGAACGGCGACCAGACCGACGCCAAAGAAGAGCCAAGCUUCUGGGACGAGAAAAAAGAGGAGGAUGAUAGUCCAGGGUUCUGGGAUGAAAAGAAAGACGAAGACAAUACUGCCAAAGACGAAAAAGCAGAGGACGAUAGUCCAGGAUUCUGGGAUCAGAAAGAGGGAAGCCCAGUAAAAGAGGUUAAGAAGGAUGAGGAUGACAGCCCUGGUUUCUGGGAUCAGAAAGAAGAAAGUCCUGUAAAGGAAGUAAAGAAAGAAGAGAACGAGUGCCCUGGAUUUUGGGACGAACAGGGAGAUAACGAAAAGAACGAGGAACGAAGUGAAGAAGUAAAACCCUCCGAAGAUGUGGAAGCGGAACAUGCAAAAGAUGAAGGAAAAGAAUCCGAAAGUGAAGAAGAAGAAGAAGAGGAGGAAGAUGACGAUGAAAGCCCAGAUAUAGCAGAGUUGAAGGAUGUAGCACAGAAACUGCCGACAUCGGGCGAAGAGGAUCGCGAUGGGAAGAAAGAAGACAGCCCCGGCUUUUGGGAUCUGAACACUGAGGAAGAUUUGCCUGCCAGGAAAACGACUAAGGAAGAUAGUCCCGGGUUUUGGGAUGAAAAUCCGGAAGAUGAUUUUCCCACUAAAAAGGAAAAGAAAGAGGAAAGUCCCGGAUUUUGGGAUGAGAAUCCGGAAGAUGAUUUCCCCACUAAAAAGGAAAAGAAAGAGGAAAGUCCCGGAUUUUGGGAUGAAAAUCCGGAAGACGAUUUUCCCACCAAAAAGGAAAAGAAAGCGGAAAGUCCCGGAUUUUGGGAUGAGAAUCCGGAAGAUGAUUUUCCCACUAAAAAGGAAAAGAAAGCGGAAAGUCCCGGAUUUUGGGAUGAGAAUCCGGAAGAUGAUUUUCCCACUAAAAAGGAAAAGAAAGAAGGAAGUCCCGGAUUUUGGGACGAGAAUCCGGAAGACGAUUUUCCCGCUAAAAGGGAGAAGCAAGUGGAAAGUCCAGGCUUCUGGGAUGAAAAUCCAGAAGACGAUACUCCCACUGAAAAAGAGAAGCAAGACGAAAGUCCUGGAUUCUGGGACGAAAAUCCAGAAGACAAUUAUCCCAGUAGAAAAGAAAAAGAAAAAAGCCCAGGGUUCUGGGACGAGAAUCCCGAAGACGACUUGCCCAGUAAAAGAGAAAAGGUUGAAAGUCCGGGAUUCUGGGAGGGGGAUGGGGAAAAAGAGGAAAGCCCUGGGUUCCAGGAAAGAACAGUUUCGGCAGGGGACGAAGAGAGAGGGGAUAAAUCGGGAGUAAGGGACGAGAGUGAUGCCACGCCAGUUAGAGGAGACGAGAGAGAGGAGACACGGGCAGCCGGGGAUGAUACUAAGGUGGCUAAUCCGUCUGCAGAGGCAGGGAAGGAGGAUGAUACCACGGGGUUCUGGGACGAUGUGGAUGACGAUCAUUCUGGGGGCAAAAAUACCGAUGAUAAUGAGGAAUUUGUGGAUGGCAAGGAGGGUGCGCAAGCUAUCGGAAAUAUGGAGGUGGCUGGUGGAUCUCUGGGUCAAAAUGAAAAUCUCACAGCGGAAGCUCAGGGGAAAGGGGAUUCUUCUGGUUCUGGGGACAGUAUUAAGGAUCAGCACGCUGAUGGAAAGCGAGGGGAUAGCCCAGGGUCUGUGAAUGAGGGCGCCCAUGUUGAUCUGGACGAGGAUGAGGAUCGCAAGGGAUCCGGUGAUGGCGAGAUGGUGGACGCCGACGCCGAUAAGACAGACGCUGCCGAAGACGAGCGUCGUGACACUGAGGUCAAGACAGAAGCUAUGCAGCCAGGCUCCGCAGAGCAAGAGUCUGGUACUGGUAACGAAUCGGACUCGGAAAAAGAGCCCAAAGGCCAUGAUGAAACUGAAAUGGCAGAUCCAAAAGUAAGCGACAAAGGAGAUGCGGAGGAGAGCGUCGCAGCUGUUAUUGCUGAUGGAGAGAAAGCCGCAGAGCCGGAGUGGGCUCAGGAAGGUGGACGCUCUGAAGGCAACGUUGAUGGCACGGGACCGCUGACUGGAAAUGGAGAUGGCAUUAAAGCUGAAGGAGGAGAGGCCACUGGUGAUGACGAGGAUGUCUCCGGUUAGAGAUGCGUCAGAGGCUUGGUCGGCAGCGGCGACAAUGAACAGGAGAACCCCGAGAAGGAGGACUGAGGCUGGUCGUCGAGCUGUGCUGCCCGGCGGCCCGGCCUUUUUAUACCGUGCUGACGGGGCGCCGCCGGCGCCUCGUGCUUGUGCGUGCGUCGCUUUCAAGGUUCACACGGAGGAGGAAGUCUGGUGGAAAUUGUGUCACUGCUCAGCCCGAUGUGCAGGGAGGUGGCCAUCGCUGCACCACCGCGAGAUUCCGUUCAGUGAGCCCACACGACGCUGUGUUCAUGGCGAUCAAGUGCUUCUGAUCGGUUGUUUAUUGAGAUUUCUUGCUUUACAUAUGCGUUAUUGCUUUGUAGUUAACCGACCCCCGCCGUUCGGCGGUUUGGUUUUAUGUUUGCGCCGCCUGCGUGAAUGUUAGCACACUGCGCAAUCCAGUAAGUCGUUUGCCAAACCCUAUGAUCACGAAGUGGCAGUGUGUGCUGCGCUGUUCUGAGGCCGAUUUUAUCCGAAUUGCUACCAACGAGAUGUGUAUGUGCGGACACCAGGCUGUCCAAUGACUAUGUCAAGAUGCUUCCUGAGCUUUCCCUAGCUUUAGUGUAGGAUUGUUAUUUCCUGUUCCGGCGCAUCGCAUUUCUUUGGUAAUCUGGUGUCCACCUUUCCCGUUUGUUUUUCACCUGUUAUGUUAUCCUAACUUUGCGGAUUGCAGAAAUAAAUCGUGUCUCAAAUUUUA